AUGGACCAUUCCAUCCCUUUUUCCCGUGCAUAUGCAUCGGACUCGGAUGACGAUGGUCCUGAUGAACAAGUUGAUGCGGAGGGGUUCACGGUGAAGGAGGCCGAAGCUUUCGAGAAGGUAUUUGGUCGGGAUCAUCGGACUACAUUGUUCAAGGAUGUUAGUCUCGCGGAUGAAGCCGUGGUAGAUGGUGGCCAAUGUGUACCUCUUGGGGUUAGGCCAAGCUUUCACCGUGAUUUGGUAGACGACAAGAACCGGAUUGCUAAAGGUUCUAAGUUCGACAGCUUGUUGGAUUUGAAGAUGUGGCUCGACAACUACUCGGUUACGCAUUAUCGUCCACACGAGGUGGUGCACUCGGACGUCAAUGUGCGCUACACGGUUGCAUGUGCAUGUGAAGAUGAAAAGGAGGUCCAACUUGGACUUACAAGAGGCCGUGGUGGUGGUAGAGGUCGUGGAAAGGAGGUCCAACAAGGAGUGGCAAGACGCCGUGGCGGUUGUCCGUGA
This 501-nucleotide ribosomal RNA is filed under the name Triticum aestivum (bread wheat). RNAcentral describes it as "partial small subunit ribosomal RNA". Lineage: Eukaryota; Viridiplantae; Streptophyta; Magnoliopsida; Poales; Poaceae. The record is from RNAcentral.